GAUGAAGAACGCAGCUAAAUGCGAUAAGUAAUGUGAAUUGCAGAAUUCAGUGAAUCAUCGAAUCUUUGAACGCACAUUGCGCCCAUUAGCAUUCUAGUGGGCAUGCCUGUUCGAGCGUCAUUUCAACCCUUAAGCCCUGUUGCUUAGCGUUGGGAGCCUACAGUACUGUAGUUCCCCAAAGUUAGUGGCGGAGUCGGUUUCACACUCUAGACGUAGUAAAUUUUUCUCGUCUGUAGUUGAGCCGGUCCCCUGCCGUAAAACACCCAAUUUAUCAAGGUUGACCUCGGAUCAGGUAGGAAUACCCGCUGAACUUAAGCAUAUCAAUAAGCGGAGGA
This 335-nucleotide unclassified non-coding RNA is filed under the name soil metagenome. RNAcentral describes it as "partial contains 5.8S ribosomal RNA, internal transcribed spacer 2, and large subunit ribosomal RNA". The stretch from base 1 to 120 matches the Rfam family "5.8S ribosomal RNA", at positions 35 to 154 of the family's 154-position model. The record is from RNAcentral.